AAUAGCAGUUAGACUUACAGUAUAUACUGCUUCACAGUGCUGUACAAAUCUCUCUAAGCGGUUCAUAGAGUCAGUCUGUUGCCCCAACAAUCUGGGUCCCCAUUUUACCCACCUCAGAAGGAUGGGAGACUGAGUCAACUUUGAGCCUGGUAGGAUUC
This is a non-coding RNA of Pseudonaja textilis, 158 nucleotides long. Lineage: Eukaryota; Metazoa; Chordata; Lepidosauria; Squamata; Elapidae. The record is from RefSeq and is a predicted model, not a curated record.